This 497-nucleotide ribosomal RNA is filed under the name uncultured bacterium. RNAcentral's name for it is "partial 16S ribosomal RNA". It matches the Rfam family "Bacterial small subunit ribosomal RNA", at positions 28 to 507 of the family's 1533-position model. The record is from RNAcentral.
GAUGAACGCUGGCGGCGUGCCUAAUACAUGCAAGUCGAGCGAACAGACGAGGAGCUUGCUCCUCUGACGUUAGCGGCGGACGGGUGAGUAACACGUGGAUAACCUACCUAUAAGACUGGGAUAACUUCGGGAAACCGGAGCUAAUACCGGAUAAUAUAUUGAACCGCAUGGUUCAAUAGUGAAAGACGGUUUUGCUGUCACUUAUAGAUGGAUCCGCGCCGCAUUAGCUAGUUGGUAAGGUAACGGCUUACCAAGGCAACGAUGCGUAGCCGACCUGAGAGGCGGAUCGGCCACACUGGAACUGAGACACGGUCCAGACUCCUACGGGAGGCAGCAGUAGGGAAUCUUACGCAAUGGGCGAAAGCCUGACGGAGCAACGCCGCGUGAGUGAUGAAGGUCUUCGGAUCGUAAAACUCGGUUAUUAGGGAAGAACAAAUGUGGAAGUAACUAUGCACGGCUUGACGGUACCUGAUCAGAAAGCAACGGCUAACUACGUG